GGCUUCAUAGCUCAGUGGUAGAGCGUUUGCACCGGAAUCGCAAAGGUCAUGGUUUCAAAUCCCGUUGGAGCCU
Molecule: transfer RNA, 73 nt
Filed under: Desmophyllum pertusum
Lineage: Eukaryota; Metazoa; Cnidaria; Anthozoa; Scleractinia; Caryophylliidae
Description: Lophelia pertusa tRNA
Rfam family: tRNA
About the family: Transfer RNA (tRNA) molecules are approximately 80 nucleotides in length. Their secondary structure includes four short double-helical elements and three loops (D, anti-codon, and T loops).
Source: Rfam by way of RNAcentral